GGACUAACAGGCUGGUCGCGCCUUCGGUGUGUACUGGUCUAGUUGGUUUCUCCCUUCUGAUGAACCACGAAGUCAUUAAUUUGGUGUCGUGGGGAAUCAGGACUGUUACUUUGAAAAAAUUAGAGUGUUUAAAGCAGGCUAACGUCUGAAUACAUUAGCAUGGAAUAAUGAAAUAGGACG
This 180-nucleotide ribosomal RNA is filed under the name uncultured Glomeromycotina. RNAcentral's name for it is "partial small subunit ribosomal RNA". The record is from RNAcentral. Lineage: Eukaryota; Fungi; Glomeromycota.